This is a long non-coding RNA of Cyprinus carpio (common carp), 1089 nucleotides long. NCBI's taxonomy places the organism in Eukaryota, Metazoa, Chordata, Actinopteri, Cypriniformes, Cyprinidae. The record is from Ensembl.
CUAACGUCAUCACGCAAUGCAAAUUACACACGCAUGCGCUGUUACAACGUUAAUGCGCGCUAAAGACAUACCUUACGUCACUCUGUGCGGUAAACACAUACGUGACGUACGUACGUGACGUCACCGCGCUACAGUCUGCAGUGAGGGGUGUCUCGUAUUUUCAGCAUCAUGACUCCAGUCUUCAGUGUCACAUGAUCUUCAGAAAUCAUUCUAAUAUGAUGAUUUGCUGCUCAAGAAACAUUUCUGAUUAUUGCCAAUGUUGUAAACAUUUAUGUUGCUCAAUAUUUUUGGGAAUAUUUGAAAUUGUUCUUUGUGUCAGAGCGCUGUAGUUCAUCAGAAAUAGAGCAGGCAUCAGUUUACUGUCAUGGAUUUGUGGCGCUGCAUCCGCUGAUAGAACAUCACUGGGUUCUAUUUGCUUUUCUUGCGCCGCUCGUGUCUGGUGUAGACACAAUGUUUUGGUAUUUGUGAAUCUUAAGUCUAUUCAUUAUCUGCUUUACAUCUACCUGGCACUGGAAGACCUUUCACACACUUGUCACUUAUAUGCUUAGAGCAGAACCAUCGAUCAUUUAUAAGUUAUUUUGUCAGCAGGUGACUCUGCAUAUAUGACACUUUCUCUGGUAUGCAGAUGGUUUAGAGAUGUGGUCACUCAAGAAGUUUUUCGGAAAGCGGCACACUUUGCCUGGCUAGACAGUUGUGGCCAACUGGAAGAAUUUUACUCCUGUCUACCUGAUCGAGUUCAGACGUAUGAACAUCACUGCACUGUAAAACCUGACAAGUCACAGUAACUCAAACCGUUUGAGUAAACAGAUUGCCUUUACUUAAACCAUGUAAGUUUUAAAACUUUGCAAUUAUGUAAUCAAGUGAUUAAUUAAGUGCUGAUUGAGCUUUAGUGAUGAACAGCUGCUGUUAACAAACAGCAUCACCAGCUCCACUUAUUAAUAACCAGACUGACUUUAUUUCUGUCAGACGUCUACAGAAGAUCUUAUUGAGAAUUAACUAAGGUUUAGAUGUUGAUUUAUUGUUUCAUUUGAAGUAACCAUGUUAGAGAUCAGUGUUUGCUUUAGUUGGGCUCUUGACCCUUGAUUUCUG